Molecule: long non-coding RNA, 1890 nt
Filed under: Salmo salar (Atlantic salmon)
Lineage: Eukaryota; Metazoa; Chordata; Actinopteri; Salmoniformes; Salmonidae
Description: lncRNA (ENSSSAG00000113118.1)
Source: RNAcentral
GCCGUACAGUAGGUGGUGGCAAUAAGCCAAUAGGUAUAGUCUGCCAUAAAACCCUAAAGAAGAACAAGAUAACAUCAAAGCAGCUUAACUGUACUGUUGUAACUGAAAACAUUUCAUAUCAUACAAAGAAACAGUAGCUUCCACAAUGGAUCAGGACAAAGCUAGCCCGUCCCCCUCCACCCUCCAGGAGUCACCAGGUCCACCGCCUCUCCAUACUUUACUGCUGGUUCUGGUCGACUGCAGGAAGGGGACAUCCCUAAUCAUUGCUCUCUUAGUGGGAGGGGCGUAUCAUCUGGGGAGCCUCCACAACAUCAUGAUUCUGAUAAGAAAGAGAAGAGUCUCUCCAGAUCAGAACACCUCAAGAAACACCAGCAUAGAGGUAUAGGGAAGAAACCUCACCACUGCUGCUCUGACUGUGAGAAGAGUUUUGCUAAACAAGACUUAACUAUUCAUGAGCAAAUUCACACUGGAUAGAACCCGUACCAUUGCUCUCAGCGUGGGAAGAGUUUUGCUGCAUCUAAAACCUUAAAAUUUCAUCAGAGAAUUCAUACAUGGGAGAGGCCUUACCCAUGCUUUGAUUGUGGGAACUACCGUAAAUUCCGGACUAUAAGCCGCAACUUUUUCCCCACGCUUUGAACCUCGCGGCUUAAACAAUGACGCGGCUAAUAUAUGGAUUUUUCCCGCUUUCAAUUUUUUUUCUCCAAAAAAACACAUUCUGUGACAUGCUCAGUUUUUUGGCGGCAUGAAGCUUUCAUUAGACCAAUGAAAUUGCCGAACGGGUUAAGGUCAAAAACUUUUUGGUUUACUGUUUAGAUUAAAUCGAGCGCUCUCAAACUUCCCAUCAUUCUGAUUACGGUAGUCAUUUUGUCACCCUCAUCAUGGCAAAGACACGGAGAAAUGCAUAUGAUGCAGCUUUCAAGUUGAAGGCGAUUGAUCUGGCUGUUGGAAAAGGAAAUAGAGCUGCUGCACGGGAGCUUGGUCUUAAUGAGUCGAUGAUAAGACGUUGGAAACAGCAGCGUGCGGAAUUGACUCAGUGCAAAAAGACAACUAAAGCUUACUGCAAAUUUUUUAUUUUUUGUUACAAGCCGUGUUUCGUUAAAGCCUAUUUAUUUUUGUUACAAGCCGUGUUUCGUUAAAGCCUGUGUAAAGUUAAUUUGUUUCAAUGUACCGGUAGGCACCUGCGGCUUAUAGACAUGUGCAGCUUAUAUUCAGGUGCGCUUAAUAGUCCGGAAAUUACGGUACUUCAAUCAAUCAGGAGCCCAGACUAAACACAAACACACAGGAGAGAAGCCUUAUAGCUUUGAUCAGUGUGGGAAGAGCUUCAGUCGAUCAGGAGACCUGACUAAACACCAACUCAUACACACAGGAGAGAAGCCUUAUAGCUGUGAUCAUUGUGGAAAGAGCUUUGCUCAUUCAGGUUCACUGAUAACACACCAUAAAGCACAAACAUGUUUUCUUUUAUUUCGUUUCUCUCCGGCACCGGUUCCAGAUCCCUAAAUAAAGUUUCAAUAGAAACCAUAUUGUAAAAGAGUUAUGUCUCCCAUUCUCUAACAGUUUACUAAGUCUGAUUACCAUGGUAACCUGUGUAGCAUGAUAUGCAGCUCUGGAUCAAUAUGUAUCAAGCAUCUUGGAGUAGGAGUGCUCUGUGUGUGGUGGGGUGGGGGUGUUCAGAGCUGUAUCUUAUUUCAUUAACUCCUAUUAUCCAUUAACCUGUUAGGGCUAGGGGGCAGUAUUGACACGGCUGGAUAAAAAACGUACCCGAUUUAAUCUGGUUACUACUCCUGCCCAGUAACUAGAAUAUGCAUAUAAUUAUUGGCUUUGGAUAGAAAACACCCUAAAGUUUCUAAAACUGUUUGAAUGGUGUCUGUGAGUAUAACAGAACUCCUAUGG